Pelobates cultripes (western spadefoot toad) is the source of this 521-nucleotide non-coding RNA. The record is from the annotation of a GenBank genome assembly. Lineage: Eukaryota; Metazoa; Chordata; Amphibia; Anura; Pelobatidae.
UUUGAGAUAUAAAACGUGUUUUUAUUUACACAGCGUUCAAGUUUACAGGUUUAUAUCACGUUCAUAUACCGAGGUAUAUGUGCAUGUAAACAAAACAGAAAAAUAAAUAUAUCAUUAACACUGAUAGAAGUUUUUUGUUGCUUUUUUUUUUGCAUACACAUUACAAUUUUCUUUGAAAAAUGCAAACAAAGUCACUUUCACUGACAAUAUAAUCACUGUGAUAUGUUUUACUGUUUUGAAACAUUAAUAUUGGUGUUCAGUGAAGUCUCCUGAGUAAAGCAGUACCCCCCAUGUACAGGUUUUAGGAUGUCAUAAAAAGUUUCAGGGUUAAAUACAGUGCUAGCAAAUUAAAUUCUCUGGACUUUCGGCCUGGGUUGUCAGGCAGGUCCCUCAAAUGGCAAUCAAUAAAAUUACUUGAUAAUGUAAAAAUAUGACAUAGAUUUGCACGUAGAAUUUAAAUAUAUAUGCAUAUUUAUAUAUUUGAAGUCUACGUGUAUAUUUAUAAAAUUAUUUAUGUAAUU